AAUGGAGUGCCUGAUUAAAGGAUUAUUUUGAUAGAAUAAAUUAUGUGUUAUGCACCUCCAUUA
This 63-nucleotide transfer RNA is filed under the name Nephus voeltzkowi. RNAcentral describes it as "tRNA-Ile". The record is from RNAcentral. Lineage: Eukaryota; Metazoa; Arthropoda; Insecta; Coleoptera; Coccinellidae.